AUACGGAGGGUGCAAGCGUUAAUCGGAAUUACUGGGCGUAAAGCGCGCGUAGGCGGAUAUUUAAGUCUCAUGUGAAAGCCCUGGGCUCAACCUGGGAACUGCAUGGGAUACUGGGUAUCUAGAAUACAGUAGAGGGUAGUGGAAUUUCAGGUGUAGCGGUGAAAUGCGUAGAGAUCUGAAGGAACAUCAGUGGCGAAGGCGACUACCUGGACUGAUAUUGACGCUGAGGUGCGAAAGCGUGGGGAGCAAACAGGAUUAGAUACCCUAGUAGUCC
RNAcentral lists this ribosomal RNA (274 nucleotides) under uncultured bacterium. RNAcentral's name for it is "partial 16S ribosomal RNA". It matches the Rfam family "Bacterial small subunit ribosomal RNA", at positions 523 to 796 of the family's 1533-position model. The record is from RNAcentral.